UACGGGGGGGGCAAGCGUUGUUCGGAAUUACUGGGCGUAAAGGGUUUGUAGGUGGCUUGUUAAGUCAGACGUGAAAUCCCUCAGCUUAACUGGGGAACUGCGUCUGAUACUGGUGAGCUUGAGUGCAGGAGAGGAACGCGGAAUUCCAGGUGUAGCGGUGAAAUGCGUAGAUAUCUGGAGGAACACCGGUGGCGAAGGCGGCGUUCUGGACUGCAACUGACACUGAAAAACGAAAACCAGGGGAGCAAACGGG
Molecule: ribosomal RNA, 253 nt
Filed under: uncultured bacterium
Lineage: Bacteria
Description: partial 16S ribosomal RNA
Rfam family: Bacterial small subunit ribosomal RNA
Source: RNAcentral